RNAcentral lists this transfer RNA (73 nucleotides) under Planctomycetota bacterium. It matches the Rfam family "tRNA". From Rfam's summary of the family: Transfer RNA (tRNA) molecules are approximately 80 nucleotides in length. RNAcentral also lists the same sequence under 6 other names. The record is from Rfam by way of RNAcentral. Lineage: Bacteria; Pseudomonadati; Planctomycetota.
GGGGCCUUAGCUCAGUUGGGAGAGCGCUUGCAUGGCAUGCAAGAGGUCGUGGGUUCGAAUCCCAUAGGCUCCA